Molecule: ribosomal RNA, 2904 nt
Filed under: Escherichia coli
Lineage: Bacteria; Pseudomonadati; Pseudomonadota; Gammaproteobacteria; Enterobacterales; Enterobacteriaceae
Description: bacterial LSU rRNA
Rfam family: Bacterial large subunit ribosomal RNA
Source: RNAcentral
UUAAGCGACUAAGCGUACACGGUGGAUGCCCUGGCAGUCAGAGGCGAUGAAGGACGUGCUAAUCUGCGAUAAGCGUCGGUAAGGUGAUAUGAACCGUUAUAACCGGCGAUUUCCGAAUGGGGAAACCCAGUGUGUUUCGACACACUAUCAUUAACUGAAUCCAUAGGUUAAUGAGGCGAACCGGGGGAACUGAAACAUCUAAGUACCCCGAGGAAAAGAAAUCAACCGAGAUUCCCCCAGUAGCGGCGAGCGAACGGGGAGCAGCCCAGAGCCUGAAUCAGUGUGUGUGUUAGUGGAAGCGUCUGGAAAGGCGCGCGAUACAGGGUGACAGCCCCGUACACAAAAAUGCACAUGCUGUGAGCUCGAUGAGUAGGGCGGGACACGUGGUAUCCUGUCUGAAUAUGGGGGGACCAUCCUCCAAGGCUAAAUACUCCUGACUGACCGAUAGUGAACCAGUACCGUGAGGGAAAGGCGAAAAGAACCCCGGCGAGGGGAGUGAAAAAGAACCUGAAACCGUGUACGUACAAGCAGUGGGAGCACGCUUAGGCGUGUGACUGCGUACCUUUUGUAUAAUGGGUCAGCGACUUAUAUUCUGUAGCAAGGUUAACCGAAUAGGGGAGCCGAAGGGAAACCGAGUCUUAACUGGGCGUUAAGUUGCAGGGUAUAGACCCGAAACCCGGUGAUCUAGCCAUGGGCAGGUUGAAGGUUGGGUAACACUAACUGGAGGACCGAACCGACUAAUGUUGAAAAAUUAGCGGAUGACUUGUGGCUGGGGGUGAAAGGCCAAUCAAACCGGGAGAUAGCUGGUUCUCCCCGAAAGCUAUUUAGGUAGCGCCUCGUGAAUUCAUCUCCGGGGGUAGAGCACUGUUUCGGCAAGGGGGUCAUCCCGACUUACCAACCCGAUGCAAACUGCGAAUACCGGAGAAUGUUAUCACGGGAGACACACGGCGGGUGCUAACGUCCGUCGUGAAGAGGGAAACAACCCAGACCGCCAGCUAAGGUCCCAAAGUCAUGGUUAAGUGGGAAACGAUGUGGGAAGGCCCAGACAGCCAGGAUGUUGGCUUAGAAGCAGCCAUCAUUUAAAGAAAGCGUGUAAUAGCUCACUGGUCGAGUCGGCCUGCGCGGAAGAUGUAACGGGGCUAAACCAUGCACCGAAGCUGCGGCAGCGACGCUUAUGCGUUGUUGGGUAGGGGAGCGUUCUGUAAGCCUGCGAAGGUGUGCUGUGAGGCAUGCUGGAGGUAUCAGAAGUGCGAAUGCUGACAUAAGUAACGAUAAAGCGGGUGAAAAGCCCGCUCGCCGGAAGACCAAGGGUUCCUGUCCAACGUUAAUCGGGGCAGGGUGAGUCGACCCCUAAGGCGAGGCCGAAAGGCGUAGUCGAUGGGAAACAGGUUAAUAUUCCUGUACUUGGUGUUACUGCGAAGGGGGGACGGAGAAGGCUAUGUUGGCCGGGCGACGGUUGUCCCGGUUUAAGCGUGUAGGCUGGUUUUCCAGGCAAAUCCGGAAAAUCAAGGCUGAGGCGUGAUGACGAGGCACUACGGUGCUGAAGCAACAAAUGCCCUGCUUCCAGGAAAAGCCUCUAAGCAUCAGGUAACAUCAAAUCGUACCCCAAACCGACACAGGUGGUCAGGUAGAGAAUACCAAGGCGCUUGAGAGAACUCGGGUGAAGGAACUAGGCAAAAUGGUGCCGUAACUUCGGGAGAAGGCACGCUGAUAUGUAGGUGAGGUCCCUCGCGGAUGGAGCUGAAAUCAGUCGAAGAUACCAGCUGGCUGCAACUGUUUAUUAAAAACACAGCACUGUGCAAACACGAAAGUGGACGUAUACGGUGUGACGCCUGCCCGGUGCCGGAAGGUUAAUUGAUGGGGUUAGCGCAAGCGAAGCUCUUGAUCGAAGCCCCGGUAAACGGCGGCCGUAACUAUAACGGUCCUAAGGUAGCGAAAUUCCUUGUCGGGUAAGUUCCGACCUGCACGAAUGGCGUAAUGAUGGCCAGGCUGUCUCCACCCGAGACUCAGUGAAAUUGAACUCGCUGUGAAGAUGCAGUGUACCCGCGGCAAGACGGAAAGACCCCGUGAACCUUUACUAUAGCUUGACACUGAACAUUGAGCCUUGAUGUGUAGGAUAGGUGGGAGGCUUUGAAGUGUGGACGCCAGUCUGCAUGGAGCCGACCUUGAAAUACCACCCUUUAAUGUUUGAUGUUCUAACGUUGACCCGUAAUCCGGGUUGCGGACAGUGUCUGGUGGGUAGUUUGACUGGGGCGGUCUCCUCCUAAAGAGUAACGGAGGAGCACGAAGGUUGGCUAAUCCUGGUCGGACAUCAGGAGGUUAGUGCAAUGGCAUAAGCCAGCUUGACUGCGAGCGUGACGGCGCGAGCAGGUGCGAAAGCAGGUCAUAGUGAUCCGGUGGUUCUGAAUGGAAGGGCCAUCGCUCAACGGAUAAAAGGUACUCCGGGGAUAACAGGCUGAUACCGCCCAAGAGUUCAUAUCGACGGCGGUGUUUGGCACCUCGAUGUCGGCUCAUCACAUCCUGGGGCUGAAGUAGGUCCCAAGGGUAUGGCUGUUCGCCAUUUAAAGUGGUACGCGAGCUGGGUUUAGAACGUCGUGAGACAGUUCGGUCCCUAUCUGCCGUGGGCGCUGGAGAACUGAGGGGGGCUGCUCCUAGUACGAGAGGACCGGAGUGGACGCAUCACUGGUGUUCGGGUUGUCAUGCCAAUGGCACUGCCCGGUAGCUAAAUGCGGAAGAGAUAAGUGCUGAAAGCAUCUAAGCACGAAACUUGCCCCGAGAUGAGUUCUCCCUGACCCUUUAAGGGUCCUGAAGGAACGUUGAAGACGACGACGUUGAUAGGCCGGGUGUGUAAGCGCAGCGAUGCGUUGAGCUAACCGGUACUAAUGAACCGUGAGGCUUAACCUU